AGAUUGAACGCUAGCGGGAUGCUUUACACAUGCAAGUCGAACGGCAGCGCGGACUUCGGUCUGGCGGCGAGUGGCGAACGGGUGAGUAAUAUAUCGGAACGUGCCCCAGUAGCGGGGGAUAACUACGCGAAAGCGUGGCUAAUACCGCAUACGCCCUACGGGGGAAAGGGGGGGAUCGCAAGACCUCUCACUAUUGGAGCGGCCGAUAUCAGAUUAGCUAGUUGGUGAGGUAAAGGCUCACCAAGGCGACGAUCUGUAGCUGGUUUGAGAAGACGACCAGCCACACUGGGACUGACGACACGGCCCAGACUCCGUACGGGAGCAGCCAGGUGGGGAAUUUGGACAAGUGGGGGAAACCCUGACUUCCGAGCCAAUCCCGGACGUGUGCGUAGUCGGAACGGUCCGUUACGGGUUA
RNAcentral lists this ribosomal RNA (415 nucleotides) under uncultured soil bacterium. Its description in RNAcentral is "bacterial SSU rRNA". It matches the Rfam family "Bacterial small subunit ribosomal RNA", at positions 26 to 435 of the family's 1533-position model. The record is from RNAcentral.